CCCCUCGGGCAGACCCGCCGCUGGCAGCCGUACCGGCUCCUCCGGGGCGGCCACUCACCGGUCAGGGAGGCCUUCGCGGUUAGGGAGAGUCCUCCGCCCCAGGCGCGAGCCUCCUGCUCAGUCCCCAGGUCCCUGUGCCACUGGGCCCAAGGCGCGGGUGGCCCCUGCCCGGGCUCUGGCCACCCUCGUGGCUCAGCCUCCACGUGCGGGGCUCAGGGCCCAGGGCGCCUCCCCCCGUCUGUGCUGCCAUCUUCCAACAACCCCAUGGACAGCAACGUCCGGGAGCCCCCGGCCAGGCGCUUCACCCCCAGGCCCACUCCCUGCGUCUGUCAGCAUGAGCUUGGGGAUGCCGUGGCUCACAGGCUCGGGAGCUGUGUCUGUGCUUUGGGGGCCUCUGGAGGAGGCGUCUAGCAAACGGGGAGUCUGGGUGAAACCAGAGCAGGGGUCACUGUCAACCCCCACGCCCCCGGAAGUGCCCCCAUGGCCGGCACCCGUUUGUCUCCGUGCACAGCCCCUUGUCUCAGUGUCCUGAGACCUGAAGACCCAGGGCAGGGCAGGUGGCCUCGCCCACACAGCUCCAGGACCCGGCACGCCCGCCGCCCACCCUCUGCUGCGCGGGCCUGGCGAGCCGCUCACGGACACAGGGAGAAAACGGCCAUGGCCGGGGGUGAGCAGUGGCUCUCCCAAAUGCACUGCGCUGUCUUCACCUGCCACAGAAAAAUCCCAAACCCAGUCCAGCGAAAAACCACGCAGUCACUCAGAGAGAAGGGGAACUCAGGUUUAUCACGCGCGGUCCCGGUCCCAGAGGAGCCAGCGCUCUGGAGAUCCGGGUCGCAUGCUCGGGGGCGACAUUCCUUAUAUACAAGGAUUUUACACAAGCUGAUUGGUCAGCUUGAACGCGAACUGUUACAAACGGGAGUUGCUAUGCAGAUCGCAAGUAGUAACACUGGAGAAGGGCGGGAGUUGCUAAGGGUAACCAAUGGAUACACAUCGUUACAGGAAGCGGAUCUGCCAAGAUACAAGGUACUCCAAGGGGCGGGGCUAGACGGGCACAAACAGUUACAGUUACAGGUGGAGCGAAGUGCAGGCAGCUCGCGCGUGAGCCCCGCACGCAGCAAGCACAUCUACAGAAGCAGAACGAGGAGCUGAUGAGCUUUUUGAUGUAAAUGCCUCAGAUUUCCUCUCUGUUCCUCCCUUCUGAUGCCCGUUUAGAUUCCUCAUAGGGCAUCAACCUCACGAUCUCCUUCGCGAUCUUCCAGUGCCAGGGACCAGCAACUCCAAUGGGCAAAGACCUUUGCUGUCGUUUUUCUUUCUACUGUAGCCUCCGUGAGGGAGGUGAUUGUCCCGACAACAAGAGGCCACAGGCCAGGCAGAGGGAGGCGGGCUUCCCGAAGGAGGAGCGCUACUCCAACGAAGGUCUUACAGCCUCCAAAGGCGGAGAACCAACCUCCAAAGAGGCUAUCGGGGUCUCGCCCGUGCCAGGCUUGCACGGCACAUGCUCCAGCUUUGGCAUCUGCUUGACAAGAUCUUCGACUGCCUGGUCCUGGUCCUCUAUCUGUACACAGCAGCUGGCGAGAUUGAAUUUCCCACAUACGCCUCCUUCUGCCGCUAAAUGAUAAUCUAGUGCCAACCUGCUCUGGUUGAUGGCGUUUCUCGUCUGGGUCUGUCGAUGUGCCAGGAGGGUCACCUUAGGAAUGAUCUCUAGACGGCCUGCAGCCGGAUAAUUAGGUUUAACAUGUAAAUGGGGGUACGGUAUCCCCAAGAUCCAUCUCUUGCCCAAGUGGCAGGCCCGUAGUAUUGGAUUCUGUGUUCUGGGGGCCACUCCUCACCCUCCCAGCCCCCCAUCUGGAGUUCUCUUUAUGCCCUGUGCAGGGGUCAUGGGACCAGGUGACCAAGCCGUUGCCCUGUUUUCAGAGGUAAGAGGAAGAAGGAUAGUUUUAUCCUGCCAGUAACACAGCUUCUUUCCCAAUUCGUGGGGAGGCAGAUAUAGGCCGUGCUCCCACAAAUCCAGGAGAGCCCACGCGGGGCCGUCCAGUCUCGGGCCUGCCUGCGCUAUGCCAGGCUUUAGUUAGCCCUGGGAAUCUGGCCAAUGGGUCUCUCUCUUUUCUGCUUCCCAGCCACACGCUUCGUCUGGAGGUGGCAUUAUCACAUCGCUGGCCUGAGCAAAUUAAGUUUCUGACUGAGUGUUUGAGGAUCCCUCCGCCUCUGGCCAGGCAGUAUUGUCCUAUAAUGGGAUGUUCCAAAAUCCAUUGACCAUCGUUUGAGGGUCCAAAUAUAAGGAGUCUCAUGAUGAAAUUUCUCAGGCUUCGGCCGUGUGUGAACCAGCCAGCUACUGGUUUGGGGCGUCCGGCACGGGGCCACAGUCCCGCUGCCGCCGGCAGCCCUGAGAUCUGCUCUCCUGCUGGGCUCGGACACUCACAGUCACCCUCCUCGUCAACUCCCCGUCGUCCAUCCGCGUCUGCAGGUCUGAGCUGGGCGUCUGAGACCAGCGUCUGAGACCAGUCGUCAAACAGCCCCGGCCAAGGGCAUGCCCCGCCCCUUCCCCAGCGGGACACGAUGCUCCCUGUCGCCCGGAGCUCUCCCUGUCCUGCACAGGACGGAUCCUCCUCCCCAUGCCGGCACCCGUGCUCCCCGGCCUGGCGCCCACCGUUCACCCCGGCGCAGGCCCGCACCCUCUCUGGACUCCCUCGGGCCCCCCGGGGAGGACUGAGUGAGGGGCUCUGGUCCUCUGAUCACCUCCCCGAGUUCUCCGCGUCCGUCUCCUUCGCUGGUUUUUCUUCUUAACGCCGCUCGGUCGCCUGCCCUUGAAUAGUCCUUGCACUGCGGAGCAGACCUGCUCCGCGGUCACGGCGACGAUCGGCGCCAUGUCUGUUCGUGGGGAGGGUCUCUUUGCCCGUUUUAGCCCGAGCGUUUGCAUCUGUGGGCGUGUGUGAAGUGGCGUCGUUUUCACGUGCUGGCUUUCUGGAGUUACGUUUUCGUGAA
Pteropus alecto (black flying fox) is the source of this 2982-nucleotide long non-coding RNA. RefSeq lists it as uncharacterized. The record is from RefSeq and is a predicted model, not a curated record. Lineage: Eukaryota; Metazoa; Chordata; Mammalia; Chiroptera; Pteropodidae. The transcript has 3 exons.